This 285-nucleotide ribosomal RNA is filed under the name Boophis reticulatus. RNAcentral describes it as "partial 16S ribosomal RNA". It matches the Rfam family "Bacterial large subunit ribosomal RNA", at positions 2249 to 2591 of the family's 2925-position model. Lineage: Eukaryota; Metazoa; Chordata; Amphibia; Anura; Mantellidae. The record is from RNAcentral.
GGCCCCUGUCUGCUCGGUUUUGGGUUGGGGUGACCGCGGAGCAUAAAAUAGCCUCCACGAAAGAAGGGAUGAUUCCCUCAUUUUAGAACUACACUUCCAAAGACUAACAAAUUAAUUUUAAGUGAUCCGAUACCCGUAUUCGAUCAACGAACCAAGUUACCCUGGGGAUAACAGCGCAAUCUACCUCAAGAGCCCCUAUCGACAGGUGGGUUUACGACCUCGAUGUUGGAUCAGGGUAUCCCAGUGGUGCAGCAGCUACCAAAGGUUCGUUUGUUCAACGAUUAA